UCCAGACUCCUACGGGAGGCAGCAGUGGGGAAUAUUGCACAAUGGGGGAAACCCUGAUGCAGCGACGCCGCGUGAGUGAAGAAGUAUUUCGGUAUGUAAAGCUCUAUCAGCAGGGAAGAAAAUGACGGUACCUGACUAAGAAGCCCCGGCUAACUACGUGCCAGCAGCCGCGGUAAUACGUAGGGGGCAAGCGUUAUCCGGAUUUACUGGGUGUAAAGGGAGCGUAGACGGCAUGGCAAGUCAGAUGUGAAAGCCCGAGGCUCAACCCCGGGACUGCAUUUGAAACUGUCAGGCUGGAGUGCAGGAGAGGUAAGUGGAAUUCCUAGUGUAGCGGUGAAAUGCGUAGAUAUUAGGAGGAACACCAGUGGCGAAGGCGGCUUACUGGACUGUAACUGACGUUGAGGCUCGAAAGCGUGGGGAGCAAACAGGAUUAGAUACCCCCGUA
This 445-nucleotide ribosomal RNA is filed under the name uncultured bacterium. Its description in RNAcentral is "bacterial SSU rRNA". It matches the Rfam family "Bacterial small subunit ribosomal RNA", at positions 330 to 792 of the family's 1533-position model. The record is from RNAcentral.